UCCACUCAAUUUUGGUAUGGAGUUGGAACGCUUGCCUACGUUUGUCGCAAGGACGCUGUUACAACUGCAUACAAAUUUGAGUUA
Molecule: microRNA precursor, 84 nt
Filed under: Bombyx mori (domestic silkworm)
Lineage: Eukaryota; Metazoa; Arthropoda; Insecta; Lepidoptera; Bombycidae
Description: mir-2807 microRNA precursor family
Rfam family: mir-2807 microRNA precursor family
Source: Rfam by way of RNAcentral